Molecule: ribosomal RNA, 1344 nt
Filed under: Triticum aestivum (bread wheat)
Lineage: Eukaryota; Viridiplantae; Streptophyta; Magnoliopsida; Poales; Poaceae
Description: partial small subunit ribosomal RNA
Source: RNAcentral
AUGGAUAUGGAACACGAAAUACCAAAAAAAAUAGGUGUACCUGCUACUCAUGGAGAUGGGGAACCUCCUAAAACCCUCAAUGCUGGUUAUGUGAAAAAUAUUAUGUACUACUUUGAUAAUCCUGAGAAAAACCCAUUCAAUUAUGUAAUGGGAGAUAUGUUGGAUAAACAUGAAUACUUUAGGGAUUAUCGCUUGACUCAAAAAGGGAAACUAUUAUGGGAUCAAAUUCAUAUGUUGCAUUGGUAUGCUCGGGAACUAUGCUUGAGAUAUGACUAUACUUGUUGCUCUAGGAUGAAGGCUCCACACCUUCCCUUUUCAUGCAAAUUUAACGAUGAUAAAACCUUGACAUCUUAUGCUAAUGGUAUAUAUGAUUACUAUGAUGUCGAUCAAAUAGAAGAAUUUGUUGCUUUUAUGGGUGCUUAUGAAAUUGAAUCUUUGAUUAAAGAGUGUGAAAAUUUUGAUGAUGCUGUUUACAGACCUGGAAAUUUUGCUAUACUUAAAUAUUCCUAUGAGAAUUGUGAAUUCAAUUCCGAUAUUGAUGAUUUUAUUGAUAGAGUAUCCACUGUCCAAGAAGAGACUCAUAUUUUGCAGGAGUCUAUGGAAGAAGAAGAAAUUAAUGACAUUGUGAGCUCAUUGGAUGAAAACGAUGAGGAGGAGAGCAAACAACAAAAGGAGGAAGAGUGGAUUGAUCAACUGUGCCCACCUUCUAAUGAGAGUAAUUCUUCAACUCAUACAUUGUUUAAUUUCCCUUCGUGCUUACCGAAGGAUGAUUGCUAUGGUGACUGUUAUGAUCCUGUUGAUUCUCUUGAAAUGUCCCUUUUUGAUGAUGCUUGCUAUACUUGUGGACAAGAUGCCAAUACGAAUUAUGCUUAUGGAGAUGAACUUGCUAUAGUUCAUUAUGUUAAACAAGAAAUUGUUGCUAUUGCACCCACGCAUGAUAGUCCUAUUAUCUUGAAUUCUCCCAACUACACUAUAUCAGAGAAGUUUACCCUUAUUAAGGAUUAUAUUGAUGGGUUGCGUUUUACUAUUACACAUGACGAUUUUGAUAGAUAUAAUAUCCAUGUGCUUGCUGGUCCUACUUGCAAUUAUUGUGAGAGAGGAACUACAUCUCCGCCUCUUUAUGUUUCCAGUAUGAUAAAAUUGCAAGAAACUGUUUAUACUAUGCAUUGGCCUUUACUUUGUGUGUAUGAAUUGUUCUUUUAUGACAUGACGAUGCAUAGGAAGAGAGUUAGACUUCAUUAUUACAUGAUAUAUGUUACUUUGUGCUCACUACUAAAUUACAAAUCAUUGUUAAUUAAAAUUGGCUUUGAUAUACCUUGGGAUCCAGGUGGAUCCAUUACUUGA